UGGGGUUCCAGUUAGUAGAAGUCUACGUUGAAUCUGGUAGCCGGACAGAAGAGUUCGUGCCAGAGCACACUCAUGAUUCUUUAAUCGAUGCCCUUCAUCAACAAUCAUGUAAACCCAGUAAAUUUUUUUCAAAAAUGCUUUAUCUCUCAUGAUUAGAUCAUAGUGUGUGAUCAACACAUCAAAGUUUCCAUCUCUUGAUAACUGUUCCCUCAAUGCCUUUCUCUCGUCUAGACGCCCAUCAUAAAGAACAG
Molecule: unclassified non-coding RNA, 251 nt
Filed under: Hevea brasiliensis (rubber tree)
Lineage: Eukaryota; Viridiplantae; Streptophyta; Magnoliopsida; Malpighiales; Euphorbiaceae
Source: RNAcentral